Molecule: ribosomal RNA, 253 nt
Filed under: uncultured bacterium
Lineage: Bacteria
Description: partial 16S ribosomal RNA
Rfam family: Bacterial small subunit ribosomal RNA
Source: RNAcentral
UACGUAGGUGGCAAGCGUUAUCCGGAAUUAUUGGGCGUAAAGAGCGCGCAGGUGGUUAAUUAAGUCUGAUGUGAAAGCCCACGGCUUAACCGUGGAGGGUCAUUGGAAACUGGUUGACUUGAGUGCAGAAGAGGGAAGUGGAAUUCCAUGUGUAGCGGUGAAGUGCGUAGAGAUAUGGAGGAACACCAGUGGCGAAGGCGGCUUCCUGGUCUGCAACUGACACUGAGGCGCGAAAGCGUGGGGAGCAAACAGG